UCCUCCGAGGGUCUAGAAUACUGAGGUGG
RNAcentral lists this non-coding RNA (29 nucleotides) under Rattus norvegicus (Norway rat). The record is from RNAcentral. Lineage: Eukaryota; Metazoa; Chordata; Mammalia; Rodentia; Muridae.